Molecule: transfer RNA, 72 nt
Filed under: Ovis aries (sheep)
Lineage: Eukaryota; Metazoa; Chordata; Mammalia; Artiodactyla; Bovidae
Rfam family: tRNA
About the family: Transfer RNA (tRNA) molecules are approximately 80 nucleotides in length. Their secondary structure includes four short double-helical elements and three loops (D, anti-codon, and T loops). Further hydrogen bonds mediate the characteristic L-shaped molecular structure. tRNAs have two regions of fundamental functional importance: the anti-codon, which is responsible for specific mRNA codon recognition, and the 3' end, to which the tRNAs corresponding amino acid is attached (by aminoacyl-tRNA synthetases). tRNAs cope with the degeneracy of the genetic code in two manners: having more than one tRNA (with a specific anti-codon) for a particular amino acid; and 'wobble' base-pairing, i.e. permitting non-standard base-pairing at the 3rd anti-codon position.
Source: Rfam by way of RNAcentral
UCCUUAGUGGCUUAGACGGUAAAGAACUUGCCUGCAAUGCAAGAGACCCAGGUUCCAUUCCUGGGUCAGGAA